RNAcentral lists this unclassified non-coding RNA (3675 nucleotides) under Hevea brasiliensis (rubber tree). Lineage: Eukaryota; Viridiplantae; Streptophyta; Magnoliopsida; Malpighiales; Euphorbiaceae. The record is from RNAcentral.
CUUUCAUUUGGUUCAGUUGACUAGAGGGAAUAGAUAGAGCGGAGGGAAUAUAAAGAUCUAAGUGGUAAUAUUAAUAAAAUUUAGUGAUUAAAUAGUAAAUUAUUCUUUACAAAAAAUUUACUUGCAAAAAGCACCUUUAUUUCCACUAAUUUGCACUAUAACUCAUAUUUCUAAGAAUUGAAAUCUAAUUUAUUUCGAACCAGACGCAAUGAAACAUGAAUCGAAUUCCAUAAAUAAUUGAAUUGAACCAAACAAGCUCUUACCAUUCCUCCUCUCAAACAGUGUAAAAUGGUUAAUGCCUUGGCAAACAAAGCGGAGAUUUUGUCUCUCUACCCCCGCUUCACUUUCGUUUUCAAUCUGCUAGGGUUCUGUUUUCAUUUCUCUAGCUCCUUAUCCACUGUAGUGUCCAUAAAUCAGCUUUGGGCAUUGAAUGUGUAGGGGCUGUUAAGGAAUUUUCAGGGAGUUGUCAGCUAGUACUUGAGUCGAUUAAUUGGGAAGCAAGGAGAAGAAGUGGAUUGAUUUUAGUUAUUUCUUUGUGGGGUUGUGUUGUAGUUGGCUUUUCUGGGAUAUAUGUUCUUGGUGAACUGAAAUGAGUGUGGUUGGGUUUGAUAUCGGUAAUGAAAACUGUGUCAUUGCUGCUGUGAAACAACGGGGUAUUGAUGUGUUGUUGAAUGAUGAAUCAAAACGUGAAACGCCAUCUGUGGUGUGUUUUGGGGAGAAACAGCGGUUUCUUGGGGCUGCUGGGGCUGCUUCUGCUAUGAUGAACCCAAAAUCCACUAUAUAUCAAUUGAAGAGAUUGAUUGGCCGGAGUUUUACAGAUCCUGAUGUUCAAAACGAGCUUAAAAUGUUACCAUUUGAAACUUCUGGGGGACACGAUGGUGGCAUUUUAAUUCAGUUGAAAUAUUUGGGUGAGACACAUACAUUUACGCCAGUUCAGAUCAUGGCAAUGCUCUUCUCACAUUUGAAAGAAAUAACAGAGAAAAAUUUGGAAAUGCCUGUUACUGAUUGUGUGAUUGGGAUACCAUCAUAUUUCACAGACUUACAGAGACGGGCAUAUUUGAGUGCUGCAGAAAUUGCUGGGUUGAAGUCUUUGAGAUUGAUGCAUGAUUGUACUGCAAUAGCGCUUAGCUAUGGGAUUUACAAAACUGACUUCCCCAAUGCAGGGCCAACAUAUGUUGCAUUUGUUGACAUUGGUCACUGUGAUAUGCAAGUAUCUAUUGUAUCAUUUGAAGCUGGGCAUAUGAGGAUUCUAUCCCAUGCUUUUGAUAGCAACUUAGGAGGAAGGGAUUUUGACGAGGUUUUGUUUAGUUAUUUUGCCUCACAGUUCAAGGAGCAUUACAAAAUAGAUGUGUAUUCUAAUGUAAGGGCAUGUAUUAGGUUAAGGGCAGCAUGUGAGAAGUUGAAGAAGGUUUUGAGUGCAAAUGCAGAGGCACCUCUAAAUAUUGAGUGCUUGAUGGAUGAGAAAGAUGUUAAAGGUUUUAUUAAGAGAGAGGAAUUUGAGAGGCUGGCUUCAGGAUUAUUGGAGAGGAUAAGUGUUCCCUGCAAGAAAGCUUUAGCUGAUGCUGGGAUACCUGUGGGGAAGAUCCAUUCCAUUGAGCUUGUUGGCUCAGGGUCUAGAAUACCGGCUAGUACUAAGUUGUUAGCUUCUCUAUUUGGAAGAGAACCCAGCCGGACACUGAAUGCAAGUGAAUGUGUGGCACGUGGAUGUGCCCUCCAGUGUGCAAUGCUUAGUCCAGUUUUUCGAGUCAGAGAAUACGAGGUUCAAGAUUCGCUUCCUUUCUCUAUUGGAUUUUCAUCAGAUAAAGGCCCAAUUGGCACAGAGUCAAAUGACAUAUUGUUUCCAAAAGGUCAACCUAUUCCGAGUAUCAAAGUUUUGACAUUCCAGCGAUGUAAUAUAUUUCAUUUGGAAGCAUUCUAUGCCAAUCCAAAUGAACUUACCCCUGGUGCCUCUUCAAAAAUUAGUUCUUUCACAAUUGGUCCUUUCCCUGGCUCCUAUAGUGAAAACACAAGGAUUAAAGUUAAAGUCCAAUUAAAUCUUCAUGGCAUCAUCACCAUUGAGUCAGCUAUGUUGAUGGAAGACCACAUAGAUGAUUAUGUUAGAAGGGACAAUACUUAUCCAGAAGGAGACAAAAUGGAGGCCGACUCUGCUUUUGGUUCUUCAACAAAGCUUGCAAAUGAUGAUGAGGAUGAUGUGACAAUGCAUGCCAGAUCAUUAGAUGAUUCAGCUAAUGGCAUAACAAGAGACAAUGCUGGUCAGAGGCUUGAGAUGCCAGUUACUGAGAACAUAUAUGGUGGAAUGACUGAGGCUGAACUUUCAGAAGCUAAAGAGAAGGAAUUUCAGUUAGCUCAACAGGACAAACUUGUGGAACAAGCCAAAGACCAGAAAAAUGCCUUGGAAUCAUAUGUUUAUGAAACACGUAAUAAGGUAGAACCUCAAAUUUCUGACACAGGAUCAUAUCUUCCCUAGAUAUCAUAAUUUGGUUUUGUUUUACACAAUCAAUUUGGUUUUUGCAUGUCAUGCCUUUAUGAAAUUUCUGCUGAAUCUGCUUUAAGGCUACCAUACCAGCUCUAUGCUGUGGUAAAAUUAUUGUUUAACAUCUUAAAAAAUAAAAUAGUUGUUUUAUGGCUUUAUAUUUUGUACUUGUAUUUGUGCAACAUAAGCAUGAACUUGGGAAUGUUGCUGCUGAGUUAAUGGGCUGUAAUUAGCUAGAAAUGACUUCUUGUCAUGACACAACAAAUGUGAUAUGAAACAAGAUGAAUGAAGGAUUGGAUAAGAUGUCUGAGAUAUCCAUACUUUAUGCUAGAUUUUAAUAAUUUAAUCAAGCUAGAAAGGGCUUCUAAUUCAUUGUCCUUCUAUUUUUCUUAAUAUUCUGGUUUGAGAAAUAAUGACAAGUUAUAUGAAUAGCUUUUCAACACAUAUCGGAGCUUUGUCAGUGAUCGAGAGAAAGAGGGAAUCUCCAUGAGCCUAAAGGAGACAGAGGAGUGGCUUUAUGAAGAUGGUGAUGAUGAAACUGAGAAUGCAUAUACUUCAAAAAUGCAGGAUCUUAGGAAGUUGGUGGAUCCCAUUGAGAAUCGAUAUAAAGAUGUAGAAGCAAGAGCACUAGCUAAACAAGAUUUGUUAAAUUGCAUUGUGGAUUAUAGAAUGUCUGUUGAUUCUCUCCCCCCUGAGGAUAGGGAAUUGAUCAUUAAUGAGUGCAAUAAAGCUGAGCAGUGGGUGAGAGAGGGAACCGAACAACAAGAUUCCUUACCCAAGAACACCAAUCCAGGGUUAUGGUCAUCGGAGAUAAAGAGCAGGACAGAGGAUCUAAACUUGAUAUGCAAACGUAUAUUGGAAAGGAAGGGUUCUCCACGAAGUUCGGAGGACAAGAGACCAGACCAGCCGCAAUAGGUUCAAGGUGUUGAAGACCUCUCAGAAAACUUCACUUCAAUUUACACUUAUAAACAUGGCACAGUUUACACAGCCAAAUACACAAAAACUAGUAGCAGUACUAAGAAUCCUGUUUUUCAGUAACCUGAAUGUGAGGCGCUCAUAAAGAUUGGGGGCCCUAUUGGCAUUUGAUCUAAGCACAUGGGCUAUACUCCAGAAGACAAAUUUGAAGCUUGCUUUAUUUUCACCCCUAUUUUGGGUAAUGCAAGUGUAAUCACAUUUUAUUCGUCGUUGAUUGACAAAUCACC